GACGAACGCUGGCGGCGUGCUUAACACAUGCAAGUCGAACGGAAAGGCCCUGCUUGCAGGGUACUCGAGUGGCGAACGGGUGAGUAACACGUGGGUGAUCUGCCCUGCACUUCGGGAUAAGCCUGGGAAACUGGGUCUAAUACCGGAUAGGAGCCAUUUUUAGUGUGAUGGUUGGAAAGUUUUUUCGGUGUAGGAUGAGCUCGCGGCCUAUCAGCUUGUUGGUGGGGUAAUGGCCUACCAAGGCGGCGACGGGUAGCCGGCCUGAGAGGGUGGACGGCCACAUUGGGACUGAGAUACGGCCCAGACUCCUACGGGAGGCAGCAGUGGGGAAUAUUGCACAAUGGGCGCAAGCCUGAUGCAGCGACGCCGCGUGGGGGAUGACGGCCUUCGGGUUGUAAACUCCUUUCGCUAGGGACGUAGCUUUUUGUGACGGUACCUAGAUAAGAAGCACCGGCUAACUACGUG
RNAcentral lists this ribosomal RNA (465 nucleotides) under uncultured bacterium. Its description in RNAcentral is "partial 16S ribosomal RNA". It matches the Rfam family "Bacterial small subunit ribosomal RNA", at positions 28 to 507 of the family's 1533-position model. The record is from RNAcentral.